AGUGAACGCUGGCGGUAGGCCUAACACAUGCAAGUCGAACGGCAGCACAGAGGAGCUUGCUCCUUGGGUGGCGAGUGGCGGACGGGUGAGGAAUACAUCGGAAUCUACUCUGUCGUGGGGGAUAACGUAGGGAAACUUACGCUAAUACCGCAUACGACCUACGGGUGAAAGCAGGGGAACUUCGGAACUUGCGCGAUUGAAUGAGCCGAUGUUGGAUUAGCUAGUUGGCGGGGUAAAGGCCCACCAAGGCGACGAUCCGUAGCUGGUCUGAGAGGAUGAUCAGCCACACUGGAACUGAGACACGGUCCAGACUCCUACGGGAGGCAGCAGUGGGGAAUAUUGGACAAUGGGCGCAAGCCUGAUCCAGCCAUACCGCGUGGGUGAAGAAGGCCUUCGGGUUGUAAAGCCCUUUUGUUGGGAAAGAAAUCCAUCUGGUUAAUACCCGGGUGGGAUGACGGUACCCAAAGAAUAAGCACCGGCUAACUUCGUGCCAGCCGCCGCGGUAA
Molecule: ribosomal RNA, 506 nt
Filed under: uncultured bacterium
Lineage: Bacteria
Description: partial 16S ribosomal RNA
Rfam family: Bacterial small subunit ribosomal RNA
Source: RNAcentral